This 1241-nucleotide long non-coding RNA is filed under the name Oreochromis niloticus (Nile tilapia). RNAcentral's name for it is "lncRNA (ENSONIG00000028017.1)". Lineage: Eukaryota; Metazoa; Chordata; Actinopteri; Cichliformes; Cichlidae. The record is from RNAcentral.
CAUAUUUAUUUUUAUUUAUUAGGUUAUUAACUAUUUGGACACUACCCUAGAUUAAAAUCAUUCCUUUCAUAUGUUUUCAUAUGUUUCUGUUACUCAGACUGUAAAGCAACAAAGAUGAAGAAACAGGAAAUAUGGCUCUGUGUACCGACGCUGCAGCGACAGGAAAUAGUGAACAGGAACUUUGCAUGCCCAUAUAUGGGAACUGAGUGUGUACAGAAAGAACACAGAGAGACAGAUGAGGCCCAUGAAGCAAAUGAAGCCUUUAAGAAAAAAUGAAUAUAAUACUAAAUUAUAUGCUUUAGUGUGUCAAUACAGGUGGGCGUCUUUCAACUUUGCAACCUUGAGUUCAGCAGCAGAAGAGCAGAUUAACAGAAUUGGGAGAAAAUAAGCCAGUUUUUGGCUCGAAAUUGUGCAGUUUGAUCUCUCACUUUGUCCCUGAAACUGAGAAGAAGUUCAAAGGACAGUCAAUUGCCUGAUGAAGACCGAUAGAACAUCGUGGACUUGAAUACAGCAGGCAAACGGCAGUGCCACUGAUCCAUUAACACUGAUGACGACUGACGACCAGCAGCAGCAUGUAAGAGUAAUGCAACAUGUACUGUGAAAAUACAGGCUGGGCAGUUGAACAGUGGGAUAAAGAAUUGUGGAAGAGCACUGGACAUUGAGUGAUAUUUUGCCAUGCUGGGACUUAAUCUGAAAGAAAGACUGUAAAGAAACAGAGAAGAAGACAACAGCUGAGUUGAGACUGUGUUUGCUGGAGCUUUGAAGCACGAACAGGACACUGUGAAUGAAAGAGAGACCGGUGAGAGAUGAAGCUGGACGAGUUUGACUGCGAGAAUAUAGGAUAUAAUUGGAUUGAAAGUUGAAACCUGAACUCAUGACUGUUUAGGGAUGUCCACCACAGCAUAACAAAGAGGUAAACAUUAGAAAAGGUAAGAAUAAUGAAAGCAAUAAUUGUCAUUACCUUAAUAAAUAGAAAACACACAUACAAAUUGUUACAUGUGAGAUUAUUUUUGAAAUGAAUCAGAAGUGAGAUAGUUUGAAUUUAGAACUCAGUGAUAAGAUGCAUGAAUUAAACCUUAUUGAAACAAACACUUGCAAUGAAGAAAGCAGCUUACACUCAAUUAAUAUGAACGCAAAGCCUUGGUGCCAUAGGCAAUUUGUUUUUGUUUUUGUCUGAGCUUACAGCUCAGAGCUGUGAGCUAUGAGCUGUAAGCAAUGCAAAGUUUUUCCUUAACUUAAAA